AGAGACAGCAGCCGCCGCGGUAAUACGUAGGUGGCAAGCGUUGUCCGGAAUUAUUGGGCGUAAAGGGCUCGCAGGCGGUUUCUUAAGUCUGAUGUGAAAGCCCCCGGCUCAACCGGGGAGGGUCAUUGGAAACUGGGAAACUUGAGUGCAGAAGAGGAGAGUGGAAUUCCACGUGUAGCGGUGAAAUGCGUAGAGAUGUGGAGGAACACCAGUGGCGAAGGCGACUCUCUGGUCUGUAACUGACGCUGAGGAGCGAAAGCGUGGGGAGCGAACGGGAUUAGAUACCCGCGUAGUCCCUGUCUCUUAUAC
Molecule: ribosomal RNA, 309 nt
Filed under: uncultured bacterium
Lineage: Bacteria
Description: partial 16S ribosomal RNA
Rfam family: Bacterial small subunit ribosomal RNA
Source: RNAcentral